GUAUGCGUACGUAUAUACAUAUAUGUGUGUAUGCGUACGUAUAUACAUAUAUGUGUGUAUGCGUACGUAUAUACAUAUAUGUGUGUAUGCGUACGUAUAUAAAUAUAUGUGUGUAUGCGUACGUAUAUACAUACAUACAUGCAUGUACAUAUAUACGUAUAUAUGUAUGUACAUAAUGUGUAUAUAUGUACGUACAUACAUAUAUGUGUAUAUAUGUACGUGCAUACAUAUAUGUGUAUAUAUGUACGUACAUAUAUACGGGUAUAUAUGUACGUACAUACAUAUAUAUGGGUAUACAUGCAUGUAUAUACAUAUAUAUGGGUAUACAUACAUGUAUAUGUAUGUAUGUAUUUUUUUUUCCCAAUGCUGUGAAUUGCUUUGCCUGCUAUGAAGGACCAAAUGCUAUUUUUUCCAGGCACAACUUAAUAUUUUAUUAACUAAAUUAUACUAAAUGUUACCAGUUGCCUAGGGUAAUGUCAUAGUAAGUACUCUGAGAUAAAUUCUUGUCUGCUGUAGGAUUCCUUAAGCUGAAGUCUAUGUUAACUCAGCCAGCACUCCAGCGAUCAGGGUGAUUUUGCUGUGCCACAAAUAUGCCCAGUUUACUGCAUUCUUCUUCAAGGCACUUACCCUCUCUUUAAAGCCUUGAUAACAUUUCCCCUUCUUCCUUUAUGAGCACUUUCAAAGUCUUAAACAUUUUCACCUGAUGACUUCAACAGGUGCAUGUUGGGGACUUGGCAGCUGUGGUUUUCGUCACACACACAGCCGACAUCUGAACAAAGGCACAGACAUUCCUAACCACAAUCCACACAUUGCUUACCUAUUUCCAUCCUCAAAAACUUAAAUUAAUGGAUUUUAAAUUUCUUAAUAUUCCUAGAGAGAGAAAAAGGGCAGGCCCAGGAAUUUAGAUACAAGCCUACAUUCAAAUAACACAUUUCAAUUAGGAGAAUGUAAAAUAUAAACUCUCCUACUAUAUAUAUACUUGAACACUAGAGGGAAAAUCACCCAACAUGUUAAAUAAAAAUUCCACAAGGUAGAUAUUGUAUAGUGUAUCUUUAACUGAAAACACUUCAUGCAACUUUUAUAGUUUCCACGUGCAGCCUAAGCCCUAAUCUGUUUCAAUAAAAUAAAUGUAUGUUGGCUGGGUAUGGUGGCUCACACCUAUAAUCCCAGCAUUUUGGGAGGCCGAGGCAGGCAGAUCACUUGAGGUCAGGAGUUCAAGACCAGCCUGGCCUACAUGGCGAAAACCCUUCUCUACUAAAAAUACAAAAAAAAAAAAAAAAAAAAAAAAUUAGCCAGGUGUGGUGGCAGGUGCCUGUAAUCCCAGCUACUCGGGAGGCUGAGGGAGGAUAAUUGCUUAAACCCAGGAGGCAGAGGUUGCAGUCAGCUGAGAUUGUGCCACUGCACUCCAGCCUGACAGAGGGCGACUGCAUUUCAAAACAAUAAAAAAUAAAAUAAAUAGAGUAAGUGUAUGUAUAGAUUAAAAGUCACCUCUAAUGAAUUAAAGGACACCCAUAAUUAUAACAUGCAAGGGAAAAUAUUAAUAUUUCAGAUGUAUAUACCAAUGAAAACUGGAAAUAAGAACUUGAUUUUAAAAGGUAGCAGUAUCUGAAUUGAAAUAACUAAUUUAACUCUAUGAUG
This 1638-nucleotide long non-coding RNA is filed under the name Homo sapiens (human). RNAcentral describes it as "HSALNT0119153". The record is from RNAcentral. Lineage: Eukaryota; Metazoa; Chordata; Mammalia; Primates; Hominidae.